This 492-nucleotide ribosomal RNA is filed under the name uncultured bacterium. RNAcentral describes it as "partial 16S ribosomal RNA". It matches the Rfam family "Bacterial small subunit ribosomal RNA", at positions 29 to 507 of the family's 1533-position model. The record is from RNAcentral.
AGUGAACGCUGGCGGUAGGCCUAACACAUGCAAGUCGAACGGCAGCACAGUAAGAGCUUGCUCUUACGGGUGUCGAGUGGCGGACGGGUGAGUUAUACAUCGGAAUCUACUUUUUCGUGGGGGAUAACGUAGGGAAACUUACUCUAAUACCGCAUACGACCUACGGGUGAAAGCAGGGGAUCUUCUGACCUUGCGCUAUUGAAUGAGCCGAUGUCGGAUUAGCUAGUUGGCUGGGUAAAGGCCCACCAAGGCGACGAUCCGUAGCUGGUCUGACAGGAUGAUCAGACACACUGGAAGUGAGACACGGUCCAGACUCCUACGGGAGGCAGCAGUGGGGAAUAUUGGACAAUGGGCGAAAGCCUGAUACAGCAAUACCGCGUGGGUGAAGAAGGAGUUCGGGUUGUAAAGCCAUUUUGUUGGGAAAGAAAAGCAGCAGGUUAAUACCCCGCUGUUAUGACGGUACCCAAAGAAUAAGCACCGGCUAACUUCGUG